GUUUAAAAAUAAAUACGAAAAUUAAAAAAAGUACUGCAAAAUUAUUGCUUUCUACCAAGGUUUUUCGAUUACUCAAAGGGCAGUUUGGUUUCGCCAAGACACUGUUCUUCUUUGGUGUUGGUGUUGUUCGGUUGAUGGGUUCAGCUGUGCCAUAUCACCACAGCUGCUUCUCCCGGCCACCAGCUCCGCCUUCAAGGCUGGUUCCGUUGCUGUGUUUGUAACGAGAUAUAGAGGUAUGAUCAGAGAUGCCAAAGAAGAUCUGCAACACAGCACAAGUUUUUUCCACAAACCCAGUUAUUAGGCUAAUGUCAAGAGGCGUCGAUAAUUGUGGUUAUAUAGGUGGCUUGAUUUUAGGAGCAGCAGUUUACUGGUCUGUAUGACCUCCAUGGAAGUAUGAAUCUAUGACCAGCAAUGGCCAAAGAAUAUUCUCAGACUGAAAACCAUUUUUUACCUUACUGACAGAAAGCUGAAACCUCGAUGAACCAGUGUAAGUAUUGACAAUUGUGACACAGGCUCUGAUUUAAAUUGGUUGCAGCUAUCCUAUGUGCAAAGUAUAGCAAGGGGUUUGCAAGGUAGAAGUGAAUUCUAAUCGAACCAGUGAUAUACCAGAACAUAAUUGAAGGGAUGAUGGUGAUUUCCCUAGCCAUAUUCUGAUACAUCACUGACCGUUCAGAGUUCACCACCAUUUCUGUAUUGCAUUUUAGCAAAACAAUCUGUUUUCUGAUAUCUGUAGUGUAGUGAAGUUUGAAGUGAAGAUGGCCCUUUUUUUAUAUUGAAGCUCGUUGAAUCUUGACCAUUGAUUUAUGAUUAUUACACUUAAUCAUAUCCGUUAAAAAAUGGGAAACUUAAUUAAUGCUAGCAUUUAUAAAAAUUCCUUAUAUGGCAUUAUGCAUAUCCACCACCCACCACUUUAGAUUAUCAUUUAGUGUUAGUGAGAUAGAAGUUUCUGUUUAUCUUUACUAAUACAAAAAAAUAUAUCCGCGUUUGGUGCAUGAGUUAAUCGUAGACAAUAAAAUUAUGGAAUUAUAGUAGAUUUUUUAGAAAAUACAACUAGAUCUACAUGCAGGGAGGCUCAAGUGGUAUCAUACUUGCAAGUAGAUUGCCUAUAUAACUUAGGUUGGUGCUUCAAGCCUCCUCACACAUAAAUGAUUUCCAUAAUUAAUGUUAGACACUAUAGUGGCACCUCUCCAGUGAGUUUUGCAGGUCAUAUCUCCGUCAACCGAGGUGCUCUCGACUCUACGAAUCCACACCUACGGCAGGCCUCUUAAAGCAGUCGGGCUCUCAGCAAUUUCAGAAGGAUAAAACUCCGCCACGGGAAAAAUGCCUUAUAUUGUUAGGGGUUCAAUUGUCUUAUUGACAAAAGAGAGAUUUGGAGUUUGGCCACAUCUUCUCUUUUGCAUGCUAAUAUCGGAAACCUUAUGGUCAAUUGUUAUUCUUUGAAUUCUGUUUGACCUACUAUGGAGAAUUUAAGUGGUCCAAGAAGAUCCCUUGCAGUUUACUUCACCUCUGCUCUUUCAAACAGAGGUUUGAUCAGAGAUGCCAAAGAAGAUCUGCAGAACAUGGCACAAGUUAUUUUCCCAAACACGCUAUGUGGCUUCUUGGAGGAGCAGCAGAGUCCUGGCUUAUAGGACCUGCAUGGAAGUAUGAUUUUGACUCAGUCAAAGAAAACUAGGUGCCGCCACAAGUUACCGGUUCUUCAAAGCACCCGCAGUUGGUACAUCAGGCGUAAUAAUUGGAUGAGUAAGUCAUCUCGAACUUAUUCGCAAAAUAAGAUUAAUGUUCAUAAGAACCUGUUCCAACUAAUGAUUGUCUGCCUAGAAAAUUUAGGACUUUGGUGAGGAAUAGCUUGCUCUGAGACAUACAAUAGAACCGGUCAACAGUAAGAGUUCAUAACUUAAAAUCUACAUUGACAACUCAAUUUCAAGUCUUAAUUAUGGAAUUAAUUUUCUCGUGUUUUAGAGAAUGAUUUAUAGGAAGAAUUCAUUUUUCACGAAACAAACAUGUGAAAAUAAUGAAAAUGUUUUUCUAAAAACUUUUUACAAGUAAAGAAACAGAUCCUUAAUUUCUAUUUAAAUUGUCUAUUUUUAUAAGGACUAGUCUCAUCCAACACAGCUUAACUGAAAUUCUAUAGGUUGGCAUGGUGACAGCUUAGAAUUGCUUAUGCUUAUCUCAAGUUUGUUACUGUUCCAAGUCACAAACCAAAAAAUAACUCAUCAAAAUAUAUUUGAACCACAAAACUUUAAGGGUACGUUUGGUUCACUGUAAUGGAAUAGAGCUGUAAUGGAAUAAAGCUGUAAUCAGUAAUUCAAUUGUUUGAUUGAAUGGAAUGGAAUAGAACUGUAAUAGUCUUCUUGUGUUUGGUUGAAUGAAAUGAUGUUGUAAUAGCAUAAGGAAAAAACUAAAAUGACUAGAAUACCUAUAGUAGAAUUUUUUUAGGUAGAUGAUUAUUGUUAUUGUUAUUAAAUUUUAAUAAGAUUAUUAUUAAAAGUAAUAAAUAAUUUAAUCAUAUUUUAACAUAAUUAUUAUUAAAUAUAAUUUAAUAAAUUCUUAAUAUAAUUAUUAUAUGAAUUAAAAAUCGAAUAUAUAAUAUAAUAAAAAUAAUAUAUAAUCUACUUUAUUAUUUUUAAACUGCAAUACAUAUUUAAUGUGCUAAAAUAUUAUUAGUGAAACAAAUAAUUUAAUCAUUCUACAAUAAAAACAAAAUAUUAGAAGUAAUAAAUAACUUGAGAAUUAUAUUUCACAUCCAAACAUAAUAUUCAUAUAUUAACAAAAAGUUACAUGAUUUCAUUAGUUUAUCAUAAUCAUAUAUUAUAAAAUUUUACAACAUUGUAAUGACAUUCUAUCAUGUCAUUAUACCAUACAAAUAUUACAAACACAAAAAGUUACCAAAAUAUCAUCAACACAACCAUGCUUUUUAAUGGUCAAAAAGUUACCAAAAGGAAAUAAGUUCCAAAAGAAGAUGCUGCGUUAGUUGCCUGUAUGGUCGACUUGCCCAAUCUUGAAACUUUUAAUGCUGAUACGGGAUUCAAAGCUGAUUAUUUAAAUGAGUUGGAAAAAAUGUUAGAAAAAGUUUUACCCAAUGCCAUGUUGAAGGCUAAACCUAAUCUUAAAUCGAGAAUUAGGACAUUAAAAAUGUAUUGAUCAAUCGUUUAUGACAUGCUUAGUGGAAAACAUAAUAACGAUUUUGGUUGUGAUGAGUAUAGGCAACUUGUUGUUGCUGAAGAUACGGCGUGGAACUCAUAUAUAAAUAGUUAUAAAGAAGCCUGUCAAUUCAAACAUCGUAGUUUCCCUUAUUAUGACCAACUUACUGUUAUCUACGCAAAAGAUCGAGUCACUGGGAAAGAUGCUCAAACAACUGCUGAUAUUAUUGAAGAAAUAGAUGUUGAGGAUGUAGCUACUACAAAUAUUCAUGAACAAAGAAACGAUUUUUAUUGAUGCGAAGCUGAUGUUUCUUUGAAUGAUAUGGAUGUUUCAUCUAUACAACCGCAACCAGAUAGAAACCAAGGCGAUUCCACAUUUUCAAAGAAGAAAAAAAAUUUCUGAUGCAAGUGAUCAUAUUUCUUCUUCAUUUCAUGAUGCUGCCACUUUAUUGGCGGAAAACACACGGAUCGUUGGCGUUGAAAUCAGUAAGAGUAUUGCCUUCAAAGUGUUAAUUCAACAAAAGUCAGAAAUGACCAUUCAAGAAAGAGCUCUAAAAUUAUAUCCAACAUUAUGUGAAGUAGAAGAUUUAACUAAAGAUGAGCGCUAUCGUGCAUUGAGCAAAAUUCCAGAUCAUCCAAUGCAAAUGCUAAUUUUCUUUAGUUUACCUUCUUCUGUGCGAUUGGAAUGGGUCAGAAGAUUUCUUGCUGACCAUUAAAAACCAUGGUUGUGUUGAUGAUAUUUUGGUAACUUUUUGUGUUUGUAAUAUUUGUAUGGUAUAAUGACAUGAUAGAAUGUCAUUACAAUGUUGUAAAAUUUUAUAACAUAUGGAUUAUGAUAAACUAAUGAAAUCAUGUAAUUUUUUGUUAA
This is a long non-coding RNA of Gossypium raimondii (Peruvian cotton), 4008 nucleotides long. RefSeq lists it as uncharacterized. Lineage: Eukaryota; Viridiplantae; Streptophyta; Magnoliopsida; Malvales; Malvaceae. The record is from RefSeq and is a predicted model, not a curated record. The transcript is spliced from 8 exons.